GAUGAACGCUGGCGGCGUCCCUAAUACAUGCCAGUCGAGCGAACAGAUGAGGAGCUUGCUCCUCUGACGUUAGCGGCGGACGGGUGAGUAACACGUGGAUAACCUACCUAUAAGACUGGGAUAACUUCGGGAAACCGGAGCUAAUACCGGAUAAUAUAUUGAACCGCAUGGUUCAAUAGUGAAAGACGGUUUUGCUGUCACUUAUAGAUGGAUCCGUGCCGCAUUAGCUAGUUGGUAAGGUAACGGCUUACCAAGGCAACGAUGCGUAGCCGACCUGAGAGGGUGAUCGGCCACACUGGAACUGAGACACGGUCCAGACUCCGACGGGAGGCAGCAGUAGGGAAUCUUCCGCAAUGGGCGAAAGCCUGACGGAGCAACGCCGCGUGAGUGAUGAAGGUCUUCGGAUCGUAAAACUCUGUUAUUAGGGAAGAACAAAUGUGUAAGUAACUAUGCACGUCUUGACGGUACCUAAUCAGAAAGCCACGGCUAACUACGUG
RNAcentral lists this ribosomal RNA (497 nucleotides) under uncultured bacterium. RNAcentral's name for it is "partial 16S ribosomal RNA". It matches the Rfam family "Bacterial small subunit ribosomal RNA", at positions 28 to 507 of the family's 1533-position model. The record is from RNAcentral.